ACGGAGGAUCCGAGCGUUAUCCGGAUUUAUUGGGUUUAAAGGGUGCGUAGGCGGAAUAGCAAGUCAGUGGUGAAAGUUUGCAGCUUAACUGUAAAAUUGCCAUUGAAACUGCUGUUCUUGAGUACAGUAGAGGUAGGCGGAAUGUGUAGUGUAGCGGUGAAAUGCAUAGAUAUUACACAGAACACCGAUUGCGUAGGCAGCUUACUGGAGUGUAACUGACGCUGAGGCACGAUAGCGUGGGGAUCAAACAG
This 251-nucleotide ribosomal RNA is filed under the name uncultured prokaryote. RNAcentral's name for it is "partial 16S rRNA". It matches the Rfam family "Bacterial small subunit ribosomal RNA", at positions 525 to 775 of the family's 1533-position model. The record is from RNAcentral.